UCAAAGGGGACUUUUAUUCUUUCAGAACUUAGGGGGUACAAGCAACAGACAACUUCAGCUGUCUUGAGGAGAAAUGGAAUGUCCCUGAAGGAUACCAGGGAGGCUCACCAAACCUGAGGAGCUGUAGAACAACCAGGCUUUGAGAAGAGCAGAACUGGGGCAAUGCUGGAGACCUCAGGAACCACAGUAGAAAAUUAGAUGGUGCUUGCAAACACAAAGACACAGCAUGGCCUCCUGGAACAAAAUGAAAUCUACAGAGUCUUGAAGCAAUAUGGAGAGAUCAAAGUCCAGGUGGGUUGCUUGCUUUGUUGUGUGGCUGCCAUUUGGUAUCGUUUCCGUAUUUCAGUCAGUGUUGCUCAACUUCCACUCUCUCCAUCAUCAAAAAGUAUUUUUAGUCCCUUACAUUACAGGAAAUCUUUGGCAUUGUUCUCAGGAUUGGUCAGAUAGGGGAACAUGAGUUUUCCAUUGCUAGUAUAGCUGUAAGAAAAGGCUAGCAAAUACAUCUUUAUACCUUGGAGGGUAUAUAUACUCUCAUCCAAAGAUGUAUUUCACAGAUGCAAGAAGCUCAUUCACUAGCAUGGAACUACUCAGCUCUUCACCAACUAGGGCUUCCUGGGAACUUCACCCUCACCCCCCAAGACUGAGCAUCAAGGUGGUUAAAGUUCUGCAAGCCCAGAGAGAGCUCUCAAGGAUCUGACCACGUUGGCACCCUGAUAUUUGACUUCCAGCCUCCAGAACUAUGAGAAAAUGAAUUUCUGUUGUUUAAGUCAUCCAGUCUAUGGUAUGUGCUGUGAUUAAUCCCUUUCCUGUGACUUUGAGGACCAUGUCUACUUGAGAAGAUAGAGGGGAUCAAAAUGAAGGAGAGAAUUUCUUUUCUGACCCUCUGGCUGACUUUCCAUUCUUAAAGAAAUUAGAGCAAAUAAAUAAUUGGCAGUUUUGUUGAACUUUUGAGUGGCAUUUUGCAACUUGUUUAUGCCUAUUAUGGAAAUAAGUUUAUUAAAAAUUCAAACCAUAUGAGAACUUUACAGAUACUAAAAUAUGUUUUUAAAACUUAUAUAUGCUGAUUUGUAAUCUUUUGAAAUUCCAUGCAUAAAACAGAGCUUAUCCUUUCAUUAAAAUAUUUUCCUGCUUUUGAAUCUUUUAGCAGUGAACUCUAUUUUAAAGUGUGAAAUCUUAGUGGUUAUCUAUUGCUGCAGAUCGCCUUAAACUUAGUAGCUUACAAACUGUUUAUUCAUUCAUGAUACUGCAUUUUCUACAGGCUCAGCCAGGAAAAACUCAUCUCUGCUCCACAUGAUGUCAGAUGGGUGGCUCAAUGGGGUCUGUAGGAGCCACUUAACUCACAUGAGAACACAAGACACAUAAGGCCCUGAAAGUCAUUCAUUGAAAGGGCUUGGCUUUUGCCCUUUGUGAGAUGGGAAGCCACUGGAGGGUUCUGAGCACAAGAGUGGCAUAAUAUAACUUGUGUGCUCACAGGAUUACCUGGCUACUGGGUGUUGAGAAUAAACUAAGAGAGGGGUGGGCUGUCAAAGCUGGGAGCAGGGAGGCCAGUUAGGAAGCAAGUGUCAUGGCCCAGGGGAGAGAUGGUGGUGGCUUGGAGAAAUGAGACAGCAAGGGGAGAUGAUGUGAUUGGAUUUGGAUUAAUAUUCAUCUACACUUUCUUCUACUUAUUUUAUGGCAUUUUUGCGAUAUAUGAAGUUAGCUUUGGGGUAAGGUUUGAGGUAGUCAUCAACUCCACAAAUCUUUCUUGAGCAGCUAUUCUUAUGUUGUGCUUUCACAGUGCAGGAAAUCCACUGGAUACUCAAGAAAUAUCUGUAGUUUUGACCUGAACAGUUAUCUUAGCUAAGGUAAUAUCUGAGCACCUACUGUAAGGCCUGGCCCUGGUCCCUGAUGGGGAUGGGGCACCUAUGAACAUUUUGCAGUUCAGAUGCCUUCACAGUAAAGCCAGCUCCCCCAAACCAGGAGCCUCCCACCCCCAACUGGAGUGUACUCCUGUAAUGGGCAGAAACUUUAUUUUAAUGGUCUUUUUGAGCUGCCACCUUCUCCUCACUGAAGGCAUGCUGAACCGAGUUGCAUCUCAUCACCGGCUGGAGGGAUGUGGAGUAAGAUUGUGAAGAACAGACCCAAUUUGUGGAGGCCUCUGAGUGCUGGCAUGCCCUCUUGGGUGACAGUUGCUUUUUUUUCUUUUCUCCUCUUCCCCCUUCAGGAGCCCCAGUGUCCUGCAGCUGUUACAUCAGCCAGCCGCCCCUGCUGCCAGAUGAGCAGAACAAAAGAUGCGACUCGGUGACUACUCACAUCUGUACUUGUCAAAAGCAAACAGAACAGAUGCCCUUAGCAACGGGGCUCUCCAGCUCAGGGAGGAGAAAUGUCCCUUCUAAGAGCUGACAGAGCCACUUAGCGAUGGCAAGGAACAUCAUGAAACAGAACAUUAAACUUUGAUGAACUGCAAAGCCUCAGAGGUUUAAGCUGCAAGUCAACGGAGAUGUUCUAAUCUAUAUAAACACUCUGCAUGCAAAUUCUGGCACAGUUUUGGGCCUUAUUUGGAUGGUGUUUUUCACUGCCUCCUUCAGAAGAGACAGCUAUAAAGGCAAAAAGAGGUGCUGUGGUUUUCUUAUGAACUCGGGGGUAGGGAGCACUUCUUAGUAAGUCCUGGGGCUGGCCCUUCCUGCCCUCGGUCUGCACUUCAGCCUGGCUUUCCUGGGUCCUACGCUCGGGGUGUCUUCCCCAAUCUAAGGAGGGAGUCAGCACUGUGCCCCUCCCUGCCCCUGGCCUGCUGUCACCGUCUCUCUCCUAUAGGCUUUUAACCCAGAGCCCAGCACUGCAAGAGACACACCAGAGUUGGAGUAGGAGCAUUCACUCAGUAGUAACAAUUCCAAGUGCAAAUUGACUAUUUACUGUGGGCCGCACACAUGCUUUGAGGCCUUGUCCUUUGUUGAAAUGCUCCCCACAGCCCUGUGAUAUAGGUGGAUUAUUGGCCUUGUACUGAGGCCCGAGGUAGUAGAGUCAGUUGCUCUGAGUCACACCCGUUGUCAAUGGCAAAGCCAGAAUUUGCCCCAGGCAGUCUUAUUCCCAAGAUGGAGUCUUCACCAUCCUUCCACAACUUGCACAGAACCUCAUUUUUGGAAUGGAAAGAGAUUUCCUUAAUGGCAUUAAAGAAAAAGAGAAAAGGACUUUUCCUUCCUGUAUCAUAAUUCUCUUCUGCCCUGAUUCUCCAAUAUUGCACAUUUCUUUGGGGAGGGGAGCGGUGCCU
Long non-coding RNA from Manis pentadactyla (Chinese pangolin), 3247 nucleotides. RefSeq lists it as uncharacterized. NCBI's taxonomy places the organism in Eukaryota, Metazoa, Chordata, Mammalia, Pholidota, Manidae. The record is from RefSeq and is a predicted model, not a curated record. The transcript is spliced from 4 exons.